AACCACACUUGUCCCUCAGUCUUAGGCAGUUGAUCUUGGAUUUAAAGGCAAGUUACCAUCAAAGGGAAAGGAGAAAUAAGGCAUGAAGGUGAAAAUUCAGCUGUGGGACUUGCUGAGUCCCACCUGACAUACUUGUUGGUGCUUGGGGGGCAGAGUGUGGAUCAAGAAAGAAACAGACAACACAUAGAGUCCGGAGGGCGUCUAGUAAAUACUGUCAUCGGCCUCGCCCCCAGGGCGUCCAGUAAAUACUGUCAUCGGCCUCGUGAUUAUUUCUCAUGCCUUUAAAUACCUCAAUCCAAAAAGGAGGGGGAAGGCAAAAGACUUCUUUACCAAGAUACAAACGACAACAAAGUAAUUACCUUCUGAAUACCCAAAACAUAAAGUAACCACAGCCUAAGUCAAAACAUCCUAUUAAUAGCCACACCCUGGACCAAACCUCCUGUCAUAACCUUAAGGAGCAAGAAUAGGGCUGAACUCUCUGACCUUUACUCAAGGUGGAACAGAUCCACUUUGGUGGACUUCACAGGGAACUUCGGGCUUUAACUGUGAAUGGAGCCCAGAACUCUGUGUAAAGAUCCUUGAUGUAAAGGCGCUUCUCACUUAACAGGCACCCGUGAGCUUUUAGCUCAGUGUGAGCCGUUUCUUCUUGGUUGUGGAGGAAAACCAGUUUCUCUUGACUUAAGUCAUCCCAGCGAGUUCUGGCUUCACUCCGGUCUCACGGGACACCGUGGACUUCCGACUUCAGGAUUUGCUUUCCUCCAUCUAACGCAUCUGUGCUCAUUCGUCUUCUGAUCAUACGGCUGAAAGUAUAAUCCCCCUGGAGAGUGUGGAUGCGUGCCUGCCUGAGAUGGAUGCAGGUUAAUCACAGAAGACAAGCGCUCCAUUGCCCCUGGGCAGAGUCGACCCAGAUUCGCUCCGCGUGAUUUUCACGGUUCACUACAUCAGGGUUAGGGAGAAGUCUGGACAUGGAAAAGCUUUGAUUCAGAUUUUUAGAACCUCACAAGCAAAAGAACCUAGUUAUUACCGGGCUAAGCGCUGAGAUCAGGCUGAGUCCUGUUGUGUUUAAAGGUGGUGUUCCAGCCUGAGCUUACUCUGGGACUUCAUUUUAUAAGCAGCUUUGACUACAUUUUGAGGAUAGGGGAUGGCUCUGGACGACAGAGUUUCUUUCAGGCAACGAGGAAGCAUGCUCCUGUUCACUGCCAUGACUAACUGAAGAAUGGGCCAAAGAGACCCAUACAAAGGCCUGCCCGGUGCUUUGAGAAGAAAGCAUAGACCUUACCCGUGUCAUAAGUUGCCGAGGCAGACAGGGCACUAUUAUGGUCUUCCUUGAUAACAUCAGCACCAUCACGACCGCUGAAGGACAUCUGAAGGACAUCU
This is a long non-coding RNA of Myodes glareolus (Bank vole), 1377 nucleotides long. RefSeq lists it as uncharacterized. NCBI's taxonomy places the organism in Eukaryota, Metazoa, Chordata, Mammalia, Rodentia, Cricetidae. The record is from RefSeq and is a predicted model, not a curated record.